Molecule: small nuclear RNA, 23 nt
Filed under: Arabidopsis thaliana (thale cress)
Lineage: Eukaryota; Viridiplantae; Streptophyta; Magnoliopsida; Brassicales; Brassicaceae
Description: snRNA_06168
Source: RNAcentral
GUGUUGGAUUGUUCACCCACCAA